Long non-coding RNA from Carassius gibelio (silver crucian carp), 629 nucleotides. RefSeq lists it as uncharacterized. The transcript has 3 exons. NCBI's taxonomy places the organism in Eukaryota, Metazoa, Chordata, Actinopteri, Cypriniformes, Cyprinidae. The record is from RefSeq and is a predicted model, not a curated record.
UGGACUUCAAGACCCGAGGAUGGGCUGUUGGCCUACUGGAGUCCUUGCCCUCAAGUAAGUACAAAGUUCCAUACACAGGUGGAUGAGCACAAGCUGGGCUAUUAGCUCACUGGGGCUCUAGCGUUCAGGUAAGUACAGAGUUCAGAACACAGGUAGGUAUUCACCGGGCUGAGCUGUUAGUGUGCAGGGGAUCUAGCUCCCAGGUAAGUACGAAGUUCAAUACACAGGUGAGUAUUCACAGGGCUGGGCUGUUAGCGUGCAGGGGUUCUAGCUCUCAGGUAAGUACAGCGUUCAAUACACAGGUGGGUAUUCACAGGGCUGGGCUGUUAACUGGCUACUUACCACUGAAGAUAUUCAGAGGUCGGUAUUCCAAGCAGAUACGGGUUUGGUCGAUGACUGACGGCUGGUGGGCCUUACAGGUGAGACUUCAAACAAUACUGGGCUUUCCGCCCAGCUUGACAAGGGGGCACACGGGGGAGGAUCGGCUGUUGUCCUUCGCUUCCCUCGUCGAAGAGACAGCACAGACGACACGCACAAGGCCGGUGGUUGCUGACAAGGCCAAUGACACAACGUCACAUGGACAAAAAGGGUAAGGCUUUGAUUUAAAAGCUUACAGAGAUCGCUGCGUG